AAGAAAUCCAAAGAAAAGCCUAAAGCAGAAUGUGGAAGGAGAAAGGCAGAGAGAAAAAAGUGACCUGUGUUGGUAAAUCUUGUCAUAUAGUUGGUGUCUCUGCUGGGAAUAAUACCUAUCAUGUAAGAACUGAACUACUCCCCACAUUUCUUGGGUUUAGGGUUGAGAGAAUUCAUUAAAAUGGCACCACAUCUGGGAGGCUUUUUCUAACCAUCAGAUGUAAACUGGAACCUUUAUAUCUCCAUCCUUAACCUUCCCUAUUCAUUAUUUCUCUAUUUUCCCUAUUCAUUAUAGUUAGCUAACACAAAUUUAUUGAUUUAUUGUUUGCCUCACACUUCUCUUUUCAAGAUUGCAAGAUCCAUAAGGGUAGGAACUUCAUCAUGUUUAAGGUUCAUACAACAGACUCUCAAAAAGUAUCUCCAAGUUGACAUAAUAAAUUGUGAUUGAAGUGUACAUAGGUAUGUAACAACAGGGAUAG
This 478-nucleotide long non-coding RNA is filed under the name Marmota monax (woodchuck). The record is from RNAcentral. Lineage: Eukaryota; Metazoa; Chordata; Mammalia; Rodentia; Sciuridae.